GAGGCUGCAAGGGAAUACUGCUCUUUGGAUGAAGGUCUUCCUGGGAGAAUGAUCUUGUUAGUUGAGGUUGUUGUGGCCCAUGAUGUGGUUCUCUGAUACCCAUGUUUCAGCGUAAGUCUGUGGAACUCAGUGUGAAUGUAGUGAAGAGGGUGAUUAUCACUGAAUAAUAAAGUGAGCCCCAAACUGAACUUACUUGGGUGCAAUCUGGAGAAGCAUUAUGCCCCAGCCAAGAGUCUUCACAAGUCAGAUUGGAUAUGUGGGCCAAUUUCAUUUAGGUACCUCCAAGUGACAUUGGGUCUUAUGAAUACUCAGACAUAGCACUCAACAACCUUAACUAGAUGGCAUCUUAUACAUUAUUUGAGAUGCACUAGCAGGUAAAUAUUAUAUAUUUGCCCCUAUUUUCAGAUGGGAAACGUGAGCCUCAGAGAGGCAGGAUAACCUGUCUGAUGCCACACAGCAGGUAGUAAUGGAAGAGUGGUUCAAAUUCACAUCUCCCAGACUCCAAUACCUCUUUUAUUUCGCCUGACAGAUCUUACGUCCCAGCCCCUGGGAGACUCGCCUGCCUGCAGGUAAUUUUAUUUAAUCUUGGCAAUCUUCCGGGAUAGGCGUAAGUAAACAAGGAUCAAGCCACUCACAACCUUAAUUAGGCGACACAUAAAUAAUGGAUUGCUGGAUUAGCCGAGAACAUACAGGAGGGAUGUGAGAGCAAUAAAACCAACUUUCCUUAAGUGGUCCCUUACUUGAAGGGGCUCCAUUUUCUCUAGGCAGGUGUCUGUGUCACGUGCCAAGGAGACAUUCCAGAAACUCAUCACUCAUCCAUUUAUUCAUCUGUUUAUCUAUUCACUUCACAGAUUCAUAAGAAACCAUUUUAGAAAUAAGAUAGGAUGCUAAUAUGUUUCUGGAGAAGGCAAAGGUGAAGACAAGAGCUCUCAAAUGGCACAGUGACAAGACGGGCUUUUAUAGUUAAAAAAAAAAAAAAAAAACCUUGAUGAAAGUUGAAGAGGAAUGUGACAGAUUAUCUUUUCUAAGUAUGGCCCCAGCAACAAAAGCUCCACCCAGUUCUACAGGUUCUUUUUGUCCUGUCAUCUUGACCUUUCUACCAACUAGUGGCAGAGUCCAUUGAACCCACACAGACUUUUGUGACCACGUUAGUAAAGAGUAUAUAGCAGAAGUGAUAGAGUGACUUCUAAGGCUGCAUAAAAAUGUCAUGUGCCUCAAUCCCUCAAUGUUCUUGUUCCUAGAAGCUAACCAUGAGCUCUACGAAGUUGAAGCCUGCCUAGGCCAUGUGACUGCGGUCACCAGCUCACCUGAGGUCCAAGUGGACAGCAAACAUCAGCCACUAGCUAUGCCAAUGUGUAUGGCUCCAGGUGAUUCCUGCCCCAGCCAUUGUUUCAUCAAGCUAUCUAACUUUCAGGCCCUUCCUGCUGGGGCCAAGACAUCACUGAGCAGAGAUCGACCACCCCACUAUGCCUUUCUGUGUUCCUAACUCACAGACUCUGAACUUAACAUGGAUGUUUGACGUUGCUAUGUUAGGGGUUCAUUUGUUAUAUAGCAAGGUGACUGUAAUAAGUGGUGUGGGAGAAACUCUGAGUCCCCUGGGACUUUUCCUUCUACUUAAUGACCCCCAAUCAUCAAGCCUUGGUAAAUCUGUACUGAUGCACCCUUA
Molecule: non-coding RNA, 1666 nt
Organism: Cricetulus griseus (Chinese hamster)
Lineage: Eukaryota; Metazoa; Chordata; Mammalia; Rodentia; Cricetidae
Source: RefSeq, a predicted model, not a curated record